Molecule: ribosomal RNA, 224 nt
Filed under: uncultured Pseudomonas sp.
Lineage: Bacteria; Pseudomonadati; Pseudomonadota; Gammaproteobacteria; Pseudomonadales; Pseudomonadaceae
Description: partial 16S ribosomal RNA
Rfam family: Bacterial small subunit ribosomal RNA
Source: RNAcentral
AACUACGGAGGAAGGUGGGGAUGACGUCAAGUCAUCAUGGCCCUUACGGCCUGGGCUACACACGUGCUACAAUGGUCGGUACAAAGGGUUGCCAAGCCGCGAGGUGGAGCUAAUCCCAUAAAACCGAUCGUAGUCCGGAUCGCAGUCUGCAACUCGACUGCGUGAAGUCGGAAUCGCUAGUAAUCGUGAAUCAGAAUGUCACGGUGAAUACGUUCCCGGGCCUU